UGAUACGUAGGGGGCGAGCGUUAUCCGGAUUCAUUGGGCGUAAAGAGCUCGUAGGCGGGGCCCCAAGUCGAGUGUGAAAGCUCCCGGCUCAACUGGGAGAGGUCAUUCGAUACUGGGGUUCUUGAGGGCAGGAGAGGGAGGUGGAAUUCCCGGUGGAGCGGUGGAAUGCGUAGAGAUCGGGAGGAACACCAGUGGCGAAGGCGGCCUCCUGGCCUGCUUCUGACGCUGAGGAGCGAAAGCUAGGGUAGCAAACGGGCUUAGAUACCCCGGUAGUCCUAGCCGUAAACGAUGGAUACUAGGUGUUGGGGGUAUUGACCCCCUCAGUGCCGCAGCUAACGCGUUAAGUAUCCCGCCUGGGGACUACGGUCGCAAGGCUA
This 377-nucleotide ribosomal RNA is filed under the name uncultured bacterium. RNAcentral's name for it is "bacterial SSU rRNA". It matches the Rfam family "Bacterial small subunit ribosomal RNA", at positions 521 to 896 of the family's 1533-position model. The record is from RNAcentral.